AUACGGAGGGUGCAAGCGUUAUUCGGAAUCACUGGGCGUAAAGGACGCGUAGGCGGGUUGGCAAGUCAGAUGUGAAAUCCUACAGCUUAACUGUAGAACUGCAUUUGAAACUGCUAACCUAGAGUAUGGGAGGGGGAGAUGGAAUUAGUGGUGUAGGGGUAAAAUCCGUAGAUAUCACUAGGAAUACCGAAAGCGAAGGCUAUCUCCUGGAACAUAACUGACGCUAAGGCGUGAAAGCGUGGGGAGCAAACAGGAUUAGAAACCCUGGUAGUCC
This 274-nucleotide ribosomal RNA is filed under the name uncultured bacterium. Its description in RNAcentral is "partial 16S ribosomal RNA". It matches the Rfam family "Bacterial small subunit ribosomal RNA", at positions 523 to 796 of the family's 1533-position model. The record is from RNAcentral.